UUGGCCAAGCAGCUAGCCCACCAAACCAACUACAAAUGAUACAUAUACCUACCCCUUAACACCCUAAACCAAAAGCAAUAAAUCAUUUUUCCUCCCUAGUAUGGGCGACAGAAAAGGAC
Molecule: ribosomal RNA, 119 nt
Filed under: Pempheris nyctereutes
Lineage: Eukaryota; Metazoa; Chordata; Actinopteri; Acropomatiformes; Pempheridae
Description: partial 16S rRNA
Source: RNAcentral